CCCAGGGUACUGCAGCAUGUUUACAGUGGACUCUUAAGCACAACAAGGCAAGGGGGGUGGGGGGGGGAAGUCCAGUUAUUUGAGGAACCAGCUCUGGAACUGGGAGUACCCCGCCCCCCCCCACCCCAAAGGUCCUGUAAAUGGAGCCUGUCGAUGACGGCAAGGAUGACAGGGUGGAACAGCUGAAGUGUAGAGACGCAUGCCUGCCCCCUACAGGAGGGGAAUGGAGGGAAGCUGAGAGAUGCAUUAUGGGUUUGCUAAGCCCACCGCUUGGCCCUAACAGCCAACACCAACCAAUGAAGCCCUCACCCUCAUUUACAACUCGAUUUUAACACCCUCAGCAGGGGCUUGAUGGUUCAAUAACCAUGGAAAAUGGAUGGAUGCCUGGAAGCUGUAUCUAAACUCAUCAGUUAACAACACCUGACAUGACGGAGCUGAAAGCCGCGUUUGGACUGCAUUUCCAGUUCUUUUGAUGGUGCCAUGAAAAUAAGCCCACAUGCCACAAGUCCUUUAUGCGUGUUAUGAAGAUCUCCGAGGAGGGAGAGAGGGAGAAUAGGCAGAGGGAUCUUCUUCAGAUCUAUGUAGAUGCGGCCUUCAGCAGGGAAGCAGGGGCACCAAGGAGAUACUGAGUCCAGAAGGAUAUGUCUGUUCUUUUCUCACCUUGAAGUGGCUGUGGUGUGGAUGACAUGCCGGAUCUCAAGCAGACACCCAGCUCCCAGUCACUUAAUAGCAGGCCACACCCAUCACUCCUUAUUGUGAGCUUGACACCGAGUGUUUUUCAACACUAUCCAUCUGUCCGUCCAUCCAUCCAUCCAUCCAUCCAUCCAUCCAUUGCCAUUUAUCCAGUGCAGGGUCAAGGAUGACCAGCGGCUAUUCACUGCACAUAAUACAAGGGACAAUCUAGGAUGCAAGUUCAUCACAGAGCACAUACACACACCUUAGGGCAAAUAAGUCAUGAAACUAGACGGACACCAGAACACCCAGUAGAAAUUUGUGUAAAGACAGGAAGAGCACACAGCAUGCAGAGUAACAGCGUGGGAGUGGGAUUUGCCCCCCCCCCCAUUUAUGGGUGAGGAUGCAUUUGGUUAAAUAGAAUUUCAAUUUCUUUCUGAAAUGUAAUAUCUCCCUUUGAAUGUAACUUGUGACCCUUAUUGAGGCAAAUUGUUUUGCAUUUUGUAACCAUUGACAUUUCAGCGUGAGAAUUUUUUGAUUUUUCCACGUGUUAAAAAAGGUUUCAAGGCAGAACAGAAACUCCCUUGCAGAAGGUGGGCGUGACCCACGCCUCCCCAAAGGUAAUGUUCUCAGCUUGGCUUCGGGAUUCUCCAUGUCUGGUACAUUUGCUGCGUUUUGUUGUCCCACCCCCCUGAGUCUUAGCAUCGAAAAUAUAUUCAUGAAUCAUCGGGAGACUGCAGUAUUACCGAGGGAACUGCCGUUUGAUCUUUUCAGCAGCGCUCUUCCUUUCUUUGCCUAAAACAAUGACAGCAGGGCUCCCUCCAUGCCACACUGAGACUAUUCAAAAUUCACCCCAGAGAAAGAGACAUCAGCUAGUUUCAGGAUCU
Molecule: long non-coding RNA, 1559 nt
Organism: Brienomyrus brachyistius
Lineage: Eukaryota; Metazoa; Chordata; Actinopteri; Osteoglossiformes; Mormyridae
Exons: 3
Source: RefSeq, a predicted model, not a curated record